RNAcentral lists this transfer RNA (73 nucleotides) under Marmota monax (woodchuck). RNAcentral describes it as "tRNA.Thr". Lineage: Eukaryota; Metazoa; Chordata; Mammalia; Rodentia; Sciuridae. The record is from RNAcentral.
GGGGUUGUAGCUCAGUGGUAGAGUGCUCGCCUAGUACUAGUGUGAGGCCCUUUGUUGGAUCCUCAGCACCACA